Molecule: ribosomal RNA, 220 nt
Filed under: uncultured prokaryote
Description: partial 16S ribosomal RNA
Rfam family: Bacterial small subunit ribosomal RNA
Source: RNAcentral
UACGGGGGGAGCUAGCGUUUUUCGGAAUUAUUGGGCGUAAAGGGCGUGUAGGCGGUUAAUAAAGUUGAGAGUGAAAUCCCCGGGCUUAACCUGGGAACUGCUUUCAAAACUCAUUAACUAGAGAACGAUAGAGGAUAGUAGAAUUCCUAGUGUAGAGGUGAAAUUCUUAGAUAUUAGGAGGAAUACCGGUGGCGAAGGCGGCUAUCUGGAUCGUUUCUGA